CAGAGUCCUACACGAAGAAACCUCAAACCCAGGAUUCCAGCCAAAAACAAUGAUUCCCCAGUCCCUGUGAAAUCCUGGAUGGAUGUUUAAUUGGGCAACAUAUUAGCUGACUCCUGUGGCAGCGGCAGGCCUCAACAGAGUUCCAGGGCUACCACUUCAGAAGGAGUAAAUGUGUGUGUGAUUCUGAAUCAUACACAGUAGGCCACUUGCUCUUAUCAAUUGGAUGAGUGAAUUCAAGACAAUAUGAGAGAAACUUCUGAAAAGUAGUGCAGUACAAUAUGCCCCCUAUGAAUUCAAUUCACAGCUUACCGAAAAGCUAACUGAGGAAUAUCUGGGUGGCUCAGUUCAGUGUCCAACUCUUGAUUGCGGCUCAGGUCAUGAUCUCGUGGUUGGUUAUAGGAUUGAGACCCAUGUUGGGCUCCAUACUCAGCACGGAGCCUGCUUAGGAUUCUCUCUCUCUCUCUCUCUCUCUCUCUCUCUCUCUCCCCCUCUGCCCCUCUCCUUCACUCACACUCUCUCUCCCUCUCUCUCUCUGCCCCUCCCAGGCUCUCUCCCUUUCUCAAAAAUAAACAAGAAAGAAGAGAAGAAGAAAGAAAGAAAGAAAGAAAGAGAAAGGUUAAUUGAGAAACUUUAAAGAGAAAGUUCCAGAGGGGCCUGGGUGGCUCAGUUGGUUAAGCAUCGACUUCAGCUCAGGUCAUGAUUUCCAGGUUCAUGAGUUCAAGCCUCCAUCAGGCUCUCUGCUGACAGUUCAGAGCCUGGAACUUGCUUUGGAUUCUGUGUCUCCCUCUGCCCCUCUCCCACUCACACUCUGUCUUUCUCUCUCUGUUUCUCUCUCUCUCUCUCAAAAAUAAAUAACCAUUGUUUAAAGAUUUAAAAAAAGAAAGCUCCAGGAAAACAUACUGAAAAAGGGACAUUUCAUUAUCUGUCAGGUCCUAGUACUAAAGAAGGCAAACACAAUUAUUAACUCGUUCAUUUAUUCUCACUCUCUCAGUCAUUCACUCAUUCAUUUAUUUAGUCACAUAAGAAAUAAUUAUUGAUUUCCACUUUGUAAUAAGUGUCAUGAUGGAUUACAGUGAGGUCCUCACCCUUAAGAAGCACAUAGUUCUGGGGUGCCUAGGUGGCUCGGUGGGUUGAGCAUCCAAUUCUUGAUUUUGGCUCAGGUCAUGAUCUCAGGGUUGAGCCCCAUAUUGGGCUGCACACUGAGCACAGAGCCUGCUUGAGAUUCUCUCCCUCCCCCUCUGCCCCUCCUCCAUUCACAUGCAUGCGCAUGUACACACUUCCUCUUUUUCUCUCUAAAAUAAAAAAAAGGGGCGCCUGGGUGGCGCAGUCUGUUAAGCGUUCGACUUCAGCCAGGUCACGAUCUCGCGGUCUGUGAGUUCGAGCCCCGCGUCGGGCUCUGGGCUGAUGGCUCAGAGCCUGGAGCCUGUUUCCGAUUCUGUGUCUCCCUCUCUCUCUGCCCCUCCCCCGUUCAUGCUCUGUCUCUCUCUGUCCCAAAAAUAAAUAAACAUUGAAAAAAAAUUUAAAAAAAAAAUAAAUAAAAUAAAAUAAAAUAAAAUAAAAUAAAAUAAAUACACUCCUUAAUAUAUAGACACCUGACACAAAUAAUAAGAAAAGAGCAACCCAGCUGAAUUAUGACCAGGGAUUAGGGAAAUCAGAGCAGCGAGAUACCAUUUUUAGCUAUCAUGUCAGCAAAUUUUAAAAUACUGAUAAUACCCAGUGUCUAAAGUUUGUGGAGAGAGGGCUUUUCAAUUGCUGUUGUUGUUGGGAAUAUAAAUUGAGAUACAAUUUCGAGAGAGCAAUUUGGUGGUAACUACCAAUUUUUUUUUAAUUCACACACCAUUUAACCCUGUAUUUUAGUUUGCAAAAACCCAUCUGGAUUCCUUGCAGUGAAGUGUUCCUUUCCCCUUAGUAACAGGAGCAAGAGUAACUCUGGGGAAUCACUUUCUUUCUCCAUUUCUAGCCCAUGUCACAAGGGGGCAUGUGCCCAGGCCUGGCUAACAAAGGCAUUACAUCCCUCUAGCCACAAUAAUUGGCUCACCGAUGGGCAUAUAAAUCAAUGUUACACAAUUUAGGGACAUUUUCCGGAGUUACUGAAAGAAAAUUGGCCUCUGUUUUCCAGUGAACUUGAACUUUUGAGAAUCAAAGCCUGGACACACUGGCAGCCAUUUUGCCACUAGAAAGGAAGGCCUUAAGAAUGGACAGUAUAGAGGUGGGAAGGGGAAUAGUCCAGUGAUGCCUCUUGAAACUCCCUGAUAUCUGAUUCUAAAGUUAGAUUCACUCUCUCAGCCAAUAAAGUUGCUUUUGGCCUAAAUUAGUUUGGGUUGGGCUUUCUGUUACUUACAACUAAAAAAUCUAGGCAGAAGCAUUCAUCUGUGGGAUGACUAACACAUGUGAACAAAGAUAUAUGUACACAGUCAUUGCAGCAUUUUUAUCACAGUGGAGAAAGUGUCAGCAACUGAAGUGUUCAAGAGGAGAAAUGCUUAAUUAGAGUUCACUCAAACUAUAUUGUGGAAUAUUAGGGUAUCAUACCAUUGGGUAAAAAGCAAAUUACAGUACAGCACAUGUAAUGUGUGUAAUGUGAUUACAUUAACGUGAAAAGGCCUAUGCAGUUAUGUAUUCAAUGCAUUAAUUAUUAUAAAAAUAUAUUGGUAUAUGCAUUUACAUUUGUAUUUACACAAAAUGAAGGGGGCUUUAACAUGUUAUUUUAUUUUUUUCCUGCAUCAAUUUAAAUGUUUGUAAAAAGAAGGAAAAGAGAAUCCAGACACAAAUCAUGGCAUAUGUAAAGGCAAGACCACACUGAAAGAGAAUACUAAAAUGUCUUUUGAGUUAGAUUAUUCCAAAUGCCAACCCUGAACUAAGGACUCCAGGGCAAGUAGUUUAUUUGGGAGGUAAUCCCAGAAAAUGCUGGUAGGGAAGUGGGGAAGAGAGACAGGAAAGAAAGGAAGGACAUAAAGGAUGCACCAAGCCCCAGUUACUAUUGAGGAUAAGUGGAACUUAAUUCUGCAGGGGAAACUCUGUGAAACAAUGUAGAGCAUGUAACUCAGGGAGCCUCCUCCACCUGAGGAGGAGGGAGUUGAGGUAUUUAUACACCAUUACUGAAAGCUAUUAGUGAGAGAUGCUUCCAGGGGCCAUGAACUUCCUAGCAUCUCAAGCCUUCUCCAUGCAUGGGCAGAGUGGGUUCUGGUGGUUAGAGAGGCCCUUGGGAAGAGAGUGUCAGGUGCUUGCACUUGGAAUUUGGGUCAGCAUCCAUAACAACAUUAAAUGUUAAGGGAAAAUGCAUUGGCACAGAGAUCAUCUGCUUUAAAUAUAUCUUCCAGGACUGAUAAGGAGCCCAGUGUACAUGGGAACAAACUGUGUUGGGAGAGGUGAUUGAAGGUACCUGUAAGAUCAAGGUGAGGGUGGGGGUUUGGGUUGGUGAAGAGAUCUUUCCACCAUAUUAAGAGUUUCUUGGCAAUGGUAGGCCACCAGAGUGUGUAAAUAGUAGAGUAAUAAGAUCAGAUUCAUAGAAAUUCAUUUUAGAACAGUAGAUCUAAUUAUGGAUAUGUAGUUAUAUUCAAAACAUUGAUGUGUAAAGAUCCACUAUUGUGUGUGUGUGUCACAAAUAACACUCAUCCUUUCAACAAAUAUCUAUGGAGAACCCACUAUAAAUAUCUGUUACGCCUCAAGAAUCUGUUUCCAAUCAUUUUAAACAGAGUUUGCAAGUGAUUUUUCUUAAUGAAAUACAGAUAAUUCUGUAAUCAUCAGGUGUUAUCAGUCCUAUUCCCUGUUCCAUGUGUUCUCUUGAGUGGGAGCAUGUAAGAAAGGAGCCACAGCCAUGGAGUAUUGUGCUAGUUGUGGGUGCCCUCCUGGAUAUAUCUUAAACAUGAAUACUAUCUGUUAGCAUUAAAAUUAUUAAGAAAUGUUGGAGUUUUUUAAAAUUUUUUUUUCAACGUUUAUUUAUUUUUGGGACAGAGAGACACAGAGCAUGAACGGGGGAGGGGCAGAGAGAGAGGGAGACACAGAAUCGGAAACAGGCUCCAGGCUCUGAGCCAUCAGCCCAGAGCCUGAUGCGGGGCUUGAACUCACGGACCGCGAGAUCGUGACCUGGCUGAAGUCGGUCGCUUAACCGACUGCGCCACCCAGGCGCCCCAUGAAAUGUUGGAGUUUUAAAAAAUCUUUUUAUUUAAAUUCAAGUUUGUUAACAUAUGGUGUAGUCUUGGCUUCAGUAGAACGUAGUGAUUCAUCUCUUACAUAUGACACCCGGUGCUCAUCCCAAAAAGUGCCCUCCUUAAUGCUUAUUGCCCAUUUAAACCAUCCCCCACCCACCUUUCCUCCAGCAACCCUCACCCUGUUCUCUGUAUUUACGAGUCUCUUAUGGUUUGCCUCCCUCUCUGUUUUUGUCUUAUUUUUCCUUCCCUUCCUUUAUGUUAAUCUAUUGUGUUUCUCAAAUUCCACAUAUGAGUGAAAUCAUAUGAUAAUCUCUUUCUCUGACUGACUUAUUUCGCUUAGCAUAACACACUCUAGUUCCAUCUACAUCGUUACAAAUAGCAAGAUUUCAUUCUUUUUCAUUGCUGAGUAGUAUUCCAGUGUGUGUGUGUGUGUGUGUGUGUGUGUGGUGUGUGUAUAUAUAUAUAUAUAUAUAUAUAUAUAUAUACACAUCACAUCUGUAUCCAUUCAUCAGUCGAUGGACAUUUGGGCUCUUUCCAUAAUUUGGCUAGUAUUGAUAGCACUGCUAUAAACAUUGGGGUGCAUGUGUCCCUUCAGAUCAGCAGUUUUGUGUUCUUUGGAUAAACACCUGGUAGUGCAGUUGCCGAGCUGGAGGGUAGUUCUAUUUUUCAUUUUUUGAAGAACCUCCAUACUGUUGGUUAUUAAAAUUAAAUUAGAUCACAAACUGGAAACAACUAUGACAAUUGGAAAGAGUUUUUCCAGCCAUCCAGGAAAGAGUCAGUGGGCUUGAACUAAAGCUGAAUUUUCAAGUACUGAAGGGAGAAGAUGAAUUUGGGCUUGUUAUUGUCCACUUGUUGCUUACCUCACCAGGUCCCUUCUGUUCCCAUCUCAGCCCUUUCUGUGCCCCAAGAGUCUGAUCCCUAUGGCCCACAGUACUAAACUCCUGUACCCUGUGAUUUUUGGUUGGUUUUGGCAAUAAGAAGCAUGGGUAGAAGAUCAGAGGGUGGAAAGAGGGAGAGUGGUCAGAGCGAUUAUUUCCCUGCUCCCCUAUCCCUGUCCACCACAGUUCUGACAGUGGCUGCAUUGUCAUUUCAGCUCCCAUUGGGUGGCCCUUCUUCCAUGGUUCCAGACUCACAUAUAAAGUACUUUUGAUAAUCCACUGCCACCUUGCCCCUUAUUUCCUAAGAUGUUAAUAGCAUCCCAUAGUUAACUCUGGGCCUUUCGUCAUUCUUUCUUAGCUUCCUCAUCUUUACUUUGCAGAGGGAGGUGGGGGGCUCUUAUUAAACUCUCUACCAUUCAGUCCUUUGAGUGUUUCCUACAGAAACUGUAUCUUUACAGAGAAUAAAAGAUUGUUUCCAAGGUCACUUGGUUAGACUUCAUGAUCGGUGGGAUGUGUCCAUGCGAAGUUGGGGAGAAGGAAAAGAAUAAAGACACUUCAGGCCCUGGCUGUAACAGUGAGGCAGAUAGUCAAUGGUGUGAAGGUUGAAGCCAGAAAGGUGCAUAGAAACCAGCAAGUUGUGGUGUAGCAGGAGGAAGGAAUGAGUAGGGUUGCUCACAGAUGAGUUAGCAUACCAGAUAUGUUGACUUGAGUCUCCAGGCACUGAUGUUGUCAUUGGAAUACAGGAAUUGGAGUUGGGGUGGAGGAAUGGGAUUGAGGUUGGGGAUAGAUUUGGAAAUGUGGAAGGCCAUUAAGAAAAUCUCAGGCAAAAUUUGCCACUUACAACUCCGUCCUUUUCUUUCCUUCUGUUUCUUCCUCAGCUCAACUAUACUCCUCCUCCUCCUCCAACCCAGAUCCCCUGUAUCUCCCCUCAAAGUUACCUUCCCAGGGUAACAUUGCAUAUUUUCAAGACCCCCCUUUCCCAUCACCAAAGGUUUUCUAGUUUCUAAUUCCUCAGAGGACUGAGUACUGUUUUCCACAAUGACAAUGACUUCUGGCAAAUGACCUCCUCUUAAUGUAAAAAUGAACCCACUGGGGUGCCUGGGUGGCUCAGUUGGUUAAGCAUCUGACUUCAGCUCAGGUCAUGAUCUCAGAGUUCGUGGGUUCAGACCCCAUAUCAGGCUCUGGCUGACAGCAUGGAGCCUGGAGGCUGCUUCAGAUUCUGUGUCUCCCUCUCUCUCACCCUUCCCCCACUCAUACUCUGUGUCUCUCAAAAAUAAACUUUGAAAAAAAUUAAAAAAAAAAACAAACUCACACAUUUCUGUUCUAAGAGAUAAUCUGUGUAUUUCAAAGGAUGGUGGCUGGACCACCAAUUGGGCAAUGACUGAAGUCCUCAUGUUACAAAAGAGGAUCUACCUCCUGCCAAGGAGACAAGACAGUGUACCAGGGAACUAUUCAGGAAUGCAGGAUAAACAUGGUCCAUCCUCCUGGAACAUCAGCUUUACUCAAAGAUUUGAGGAUGGGUGACAUUUUUAAACUAAAUAGAACAUUAGAGUAUACUAUGGAGAAGAUGCAAAAUUCCUAGCAAGUUUUAAGAUAAAGCAUAAUCCUCCAAAGCAUUCCCCGCCAAAAGGCUCACAUUGAAUUUGACCCGCUUGUGGGGUACUUGGUGGGGAAGUUGAGCUAAAUUAGUGCUUCUCUGAGGACUAUGCCAAAGAUGGGAAUUUCUGAACAUUGGACAGCAAAUAUUUUAGAGCCAGCAAGACUUAUGAUACCCCCAUAAAUCAUGCCUUUUGGCCACCCAGACACCAUUUACCACAAGCCUGUGCCUUAAAUGACAGUUCCUUGUUUAGCUGCCUUCCUUAACUUUGGAACUUAGUGCAUAAAAUACCUUUCAGAUUAUGUAAAUCCAUCCACUACAAGCCUUCUUUAGGUUUUUCUAUUGUACACUGUUUUAAGUGUAACACACUUGCUUUCUUCCUGCAGAGAACAUAUCCUGGUUCCAGAAAAGUCUUCCAAGGAAGAAGGGAAAAAAAUGCAUACACCAGCUUCUUGAAACAUUUGGCACCUGCUACACUCACCAAUAAAUCUAAACUGGACAGCUUGACAUUUCCUCAAACAAGACCCCACCUCUCAAAGAACAUUUGUCCUAACAUGAAAAACAAUAAAAGCCCAGCUGAUAGAAUGCAAAAUAUUUUCCCUAGUCUAACUGCAGAAGCAAAAUAAUUGCUUGCUUAGACAGCGAUCUGAACCAUUCCACAGUCCAUGACUAUUAUAACCCUGUUCAGAUGGCAUCAGCAAUAACCCUCAAUAAUCUUCAAAUUGGAAGGGUUUAUAUGCUGUCCCAACACUCAGCUUUUUGAAAUCUACCUGUCAACAGAAAACUGCACUCUGACCUUCUUAAGUAUUGUAUAUGCCUGCACGAAGGCUAUGGAACUCAGUGGAUCCUUUUUUACUUUGUAAAAACACAGUUGUCAGUUCCGGCCUUAGAAACAAUUCAAGUUAUAAACAAUUUAAUGGAGGUUUCCUGUCUCCUCCUUUCCCCUUUAACAUGGAGCCUUCCUCCGUUGUUUCCAAAGGAGACCUUAGCUUCCCCACCAAACCCUCACUCCCACAGACACUCCUCCCUUGCUACUCAAGGGCUGCCAAGUUCUCCCAAAAAGAGGAGGACAGGAUAUGGCAGAGCCUCUACCAGUUUCCCAAUCCAUCGAGCUGUCUCUCGAAGGGUUAGAAGUUUGGGCUUCAGCAGGCUCCAGGCAUUUUUGUUCCAGCUCAGCCACUUGGGGAAUCCAAUAGGCUUUUAUGAUGGCUUGGGAAGAUAACCAUCCCUUGGAACAUUGUUCUGUAAGAAAAAUGCAUCCAAAGUUCCAAGUGACUUUUGGAACAGAACAUUUUCACAUGAUAGGACUUCUGUAAUCUACAUAAUAUGUUGGAGACUUAUAUAUAGUUUCCAUGGACCCACAAGAUUUCAUGGGAGUUCCCUAGCAAUGUCACCAAAAAUUAAUCUAGAGACUUUGGGGAAGGGCUGGGAAGAUUAUACACUUGCUUAAAGCACUAGCAAAGUAGGAGCAAAAUGUUCAUUCUCUGAAUUUGAUUUGCAUUAUUUUGUAAAGUAUCAGACAUAGUCAUAUUGAGGGAAACUAGAACUCUUUUGAACUUCAUUUAUUUCAGGCUUAGUAUUGUUAUUUUGAAUUCUUUAUGGGGAAACUAAGCUUAAAGCAUUUUAAUAAUUUUAAAUAGGCCUCGAUUACUAGAUAAAGGAGAGAAAAGGCAAUAUCAAUAUUUGCACAAAUACCAGCCUUGGCUUCAGCACUAAAUGGUUAACAUCUGGGUGUCCAUUUUCUUAUGAAUUGGGUUUGCCUGAAGAUUCCUUCCAGUUUAACAUUUCAUGGUGUCAAUUAUUUCUCUCAUGUCUUCACGUAUGGUUCUCCAACAGGACCUUUCUGCCCUGGGUGAAUCUGUGCCAAGAUUCCUCCUGGUUUAGCUAGAAACACAGCUGUGCCUCCUGAUCCAUGAACUGGCAUCCCCAGAACCUGGUGAAGCAGCAGAUAAUAUGGAGAACCUCAGCAGAUGCCAUCUAUAAACCUCAGGAGACAAAAUCUGAAAAUGUUCCUGUGACCACUAAAGACUCCAUGUCAACAUUCACAAUAUUCCAGAUUAGACAAUGAUUGGAGUCCAUGUACCAGAGGCCAAAGAGUUGGCAAAUUCUCCUGACUUGUCACAAUAUGACACACUAAUUCCCUUCUAUUUUAAAAAACAGGUAGCAAGACAUUCUACGUUUUGAAAAUGGAAAAGUCAAUAUCUGCCAGUUGGUAUAAGAGAAAACAUUUAGUUAA
RNAcentral lists this long non-coding RNA (8859 nucleotides) under Lynx pardinus (Iberian lynx). The stretch from base 6123 to 6207 matches the Rfam family "tRNA". The record is from RNAcentral. Lineage: Eukaryota; Metazoa; Chordata; Mammalia; Carnivora; Felidae.